Small nucleolar RNA from Trichomycterus rosablanca, 109 nucleotides. RefSeq annotates it as U8 small nucleolar RNA. The transcript has a single exon. NCBI's taxonomy places the organism in Eukaryota, Metazoa, Chordata, Actinopteri, Siluriformes, Trichomycteridae. The record is from RefSeq and is a predicted model, not a curated record.
UCAUCAGUGAGGUACAUCAUUACCUGUUGCCUUAUCACUAAGGCUGCAGAACAAUGACUGGAUUCAGAGUGCGUGAUUAUAAUCCGCAUUUAUCAAGGAACUAUCUGAU